RNAcentral lists this ribosomal RNA (475 nucleotides) under uncultured bacterium. RNAcentral describes it as "partial 16S ribosomal RNA". It matches the Rfam family "Bacterial small subunit ribosomal RNA", at positions 28 to 507 of the family's 1533-position model. The record is from RNAcentral.
GAUGAACGCUGGCGGCGUGCUUAACACAUGCAAGUCGAACGAUGAACCUCACUUGUGGGGGGAUUAGUGGCGAACGGGUGAGUAACACGUGAGUAACCUGCCCUUGACUCUGGGAUAAGCCUGGGAAACCGGGUCUAAUACUGGAUACGACCUUCUGGCGCAUGCCAUGUUGGUGGAAAGCUUUUGUGGUUUUGGAUGGACUCGCGGCCUAUCAGCUUGUUGGUGGGGUAAUGGCCUACCAAGGCGACGACGGGUAGCCGGCCUGAGAGGGUGACCGGCCACACUGGGACUGAGACACGGGCCAGACUCCUACGGGAGGCAGCAGUGGGGAAUAUUGCACAAUGGGCGCAAGCCUGAUGCAGCGACGCCGCGUGAGGGAUGAAGGCCUUCGGGUUGUAAACCUCUUUCAGUAGGGAAGAAGCCGGCUUUUGGGUUGGUGACGGUACCUGCAGAAGAAGCGCCGGCUAACUACGUG